RNAcentral lists this long non-coding RNA (235 nucleotides) under Nicotiana benthamiana. Its description in RNAcentral is "long non-coding RNA (NBEN_LNC006873)". Lineage: Eukaryota; Viridiplantae; Streptophyta; Magnoliopsida; Solanales; Solanaceae. The record is from RNAcentral.
AAAAGCCCUCUCCCAUGGAUUGACUCAGAUUUUGGAUUUUUUCUCCUUCGACUGCUUCAAUUGUUCAAGUCUUGGUUCGUUUCUUUUCGGCACACGUUGAGGAUUGCUGCCUGAAUCAUUUGCCGUUAACGAAAAAUUUUGGCUAAUAUUCGAGUUGCAAUUCUCAUCAAGUUGGUCGAGAUUCUUGCUCGCGGAGUUCGAAUAUCGUUCUCAUAUACUCUGAAGUCUAAUUGGU